CAGAGCUCCACCCACUUCUCUGCAAGCAGCCCCUGCGUGUCCAAUCCCGUCUGCAGCGCUGGACUGGCAGAGCCCUCCCACCCAGCUGGGCCACCAGCCCCAACCCCUGCCAGCCCAGUGACCCAGAGCGGCCGGUGGCAGGAGGGGGCUGCUGAGGCUCUGAUGGCAGAGGAACAGGGCUGGAGGCUCCCGCGGCGCGCAGCCCCCGCCCAGAAGGACCCUCGCAGCAGGGACCAGCUGGUGAAAUCUCGCUAUAGGUGAUGCUGACCCUGGGCAGCGGCUCUAGAAGGGCUCCGCGGUUGCCUGCUUGGCCCCUCCUCCCUCCGGCCGCUCCACCCUCGGAGCCCCUCUUCCUGGAGCCCCGGCUCCCCCUCCACUUCAUGGUUUGCAUCAGAGUCGUCCUGUUUCGACACCGAGUCACUUGGCCUUUGCCGCUCAUCAUCACACAGCCACUGACAGAACUGUCCGAUGACCAUCUACUUACACGCGUGUUGUUAACUGAGCACCUGCUCCGCGUGGGUGUCAGAAGGCCCUUGCACGGAGGAGGAAACCGAGGCUUUCAGCGGUCGUGAGACUCACUGUGGGGCCCACCCACUGCCCAGACUGGACGCCCACAUCCCACGGGUCCUCAAUCCCUUCUGCUAAUUCCUCCCAAACCCCUCUCCCCAUCACCACUGGUGUCCUGUCUGUGCCACCUCUCAGGGGCCGCUCUGGCCCUUAACCCAUUCUCCGCACAGCAGCCUGAGGGAUUGUCU
Molecule: long non-coding RNA, 755 nt
Organism: Neofelis nebulosa (Clouded leopard)
Lineage: Eukaryota; Metazoa; Chordata; Mammalia; Carnivora; Felidae
Exons: 2
Source: RefSeq, a predicted model, not a curated record